Molecule: ribosomal RNA, 253 nt
Filed under: uncultured bacterium
Lineage: Bacteria
Description: partial 16S ribosomal RNA
Rfam family: Bacterial small subunit ribosomal RNA
Source: RNAcentral
UACGUAGGGGGCAAGCGGUGUCCGGAUUCAUUGGGCGUAAAGAGCGUGUAGGCGGCCAGGUAGGUCGGAUGUGAAAACUGGAGGCUCAACCUUCAGACGUCGACCGAAACCAUCUGGCUAGAGUCCGGGAGAGGAGAGUGGAAUUCCUGGUGUAGCGGUGAAAUGCGCAGAUAUCAGGAGGAACACCGGUGGCGAAGGCGGGUCUCUGGACAGUUCCUGACGCUGAGGCACGAAGGUCAGGGGAGCAAACGGG